This 27-nucleotide non-coding RNA is filed under the name Mus musculus (house mouse). Lineage: Eukaryota; Metazoa; Chordata; Mammalia; Rodentia; Muridae. The record is from RNAcentral.
UGGCUGAAGGUCUUAACCAUGACAACA